AACCUUUAGCCCAACAAGUAUUAAAGGCAACGCCUGCCCAGUGAACAAUUCAACGGCCGCGGUACCCUAACCGUGCAAAGGUAGCAUAAUCAUUUGUCUAUUAACUGUAGACCUGUAUGAAUGGCAAAAUGAGGGUUCAACUGUCUCUUAUAAUAAGUCUAUUAAACUGAUCCCCCAGUAAAAAAGCUGGGAUACUCCCAUAAGACCAGAAGACCCUGUGAAGCUUUAACUAAACUAUUAAACCCAAUAAUAACUACUUUCGGUUGGGGCGACCUUGGAAACAAAAAUAACUUCCAACAUACGUGAUUCACCACACCCAUUAGGCCCACAAGCCAAUAAAUGACCCAGUACUACUGAUAAUAGAACAAAGUUACUCCAGGGAUAACAGCGCUAUCUUCUUCAAGAGCCCAUAUCAAAAAGAAGGUUUACGACCUCGAUGUUGGAUCAGGACAUCCUAAUGGUGCAACCGCUAUUAAGGGUUCGUUUGUUCAACGAUUAAUGUCCU
This 505-nucleotide ribosomal RNA is filed under the name Regina grahamii (Graham's crayfish snake). RNAcentral describes it as "partial 16S ribosomal RNA". It matches the Rfam family "Bacterial large subunit ribosomal RNA", at positions 1816 to 2597 of the family's 2925-position model. The record is from RNAcentral. Lineage: Eukaryota; Metazoa; Chordata; Lepidosauria; Squamata; Natricidae.